GAUGAACGCUGGCGGCGUGCCUAAUACAUGCAAGUCGAGCGAACGGACGAGAAGCUUGCUUCUCUGAUGUUAGCGGCGGACGGGUGAGUAACACGUGGAUAACCUACCUAUAAGACUGGGAUAACUUCGGGAAACCGGAGCUAAUACCGGAUAAUAUUUUGGACCGCAUGGUUCAAAAGUGAAAGACGGUCUUGCUGUCACUUAUAGAUGGAUCCGCGCUGCAUUAGCUAGUUGGUAAGGUAACGGCUUACCAAGGCAACGAUGCAUAGCCGACCUGAGAGGGUGAUCGGCCACACUGGAACUGAGACACGGUCCAGACUCCUACGGGAGGCAGCAGUAGGGAAUCUUCCGCAAUGGGCGAAAGCCUGACGGAGCAACGCCGCGUGAGUGAUGAAGGUCUUCGGAUCGUAAAACUCUGUUAUUAGGGAAGAACAUAUGUGUAAGUAACUGUGCACAUCUUGACGGUACCUAAUCAGAAAGCCACGGGUAACUACGUG
This 497-nucleotide ribosomal RNA is filed under the name uncultured bacterium. RNAcentral describes it as "partial 16S ribosomal RNA". It matches the Rfam family "Bacterial small subunit ribosomal RNA", at positions 28 to 507 of the family's 1533-position model. The record is from RNAcentral.